UCCAGACUCCUACGGGAGGCAGCAGUGGGGAAUAUUGGGCAAUGGGCGCAAGCCUGACCCAGCAACGCCGCGUGAAGGAAGAAGGCUUUCGGGUUGUAAACUUCUUUUGACAGGGAAGAGCAGAAGACGGUACCUGUCGAAUAAGCCACGGCUAACUACGUGCCAGCAGCCGCGGUAAUACGUAGGUGGCAAGCGUUGUCCGGAUUUACUGGGUGUAAAGGGCGUGUAGCCGGGCUGACAAGUCAGAUGUGAAAUCCGGGGGCUCAACCCCCGAACUGCAUUGGAAACUGUAUAUCUAGAGUGUCGGAGAGGCAAGUGGAAUUCCUGGUGUAGCGGUGAAAUGCGUAGAUAUCAGGAGGAACACCAGUGGCGAAGGCGGCUUGCUGGACGAUGACUGACGUUGAGGCUCGAAAGCGUGGGGAGCAAACAGGAUUAGAUACCCUAGUAC
This 448-nucleotide ribosomal RNA is filed under the name uncultured bacterium. RNAcentral describes it as "bacterial SSU rRNA". It matches the Rfam family "Bacterial small subunit ribosomal RNA", at positions 330 to 793 of the family's 1533-position model. The record is from RNAcentral.